UACGUAGGGACCAAGCGUUGUCCGGAAUCAUUGGGCGUAAAGCGCGCGUAGGCGGCCCGGUAAGUCCGUUGUAAAAGUCGAAGGCUCAACCUUCGAAAGCCGAUGGAUACUGCCGGGCUAGAGUACGGAAGAGGCGAGUAGAAUUCCUGGUGUAGCGGUGGAAUGCGCAGAUAUCAGGAGGAAUACCCAUAGCGAAGGCAGCUCGCUGGGACGUUACUGACGCUGAGGCGCGAAAGCGUGGGGAGCGAACAGG
Molecule: ribosomal RNA, 253 nt
Filed under: uncultured bacterium
Lineage: Bacteria
Also listed under: 1 other name
Description: partial 16S ribosomal RNA
Rfam family: Bacterial small subunit ribosomal RNA
Source: RNAcentral